This 442-nucleotide ribosomal RNA is filed under the name uncultured bacterium. Its description in RNAcentral is "partial 16S ribosomal RNA". It matches the Rfam family "Bacterial small subunit ribosomal RNA", at positions 28 to 507 of the family's 1533-position model. The record is from RNAcentral.
GAUGAACGCUGGCGGCGUGCCUUAUACAUGCAAGUCGAGUGGGUUUAGACCCACGGCGAACGGGUGAGUAACACGUAGGUACUUUCCUUGUCACAGGAAUAACCCUCCGAAAGGAGGGCUAAUACCUGAUGUGAUCGCAAGAUUAAAGGGUAGCCGCAAGGAUUACCGGACAAGAAGAGGCCUGCGGCCUAGCAGCUAGUUGGCGGGGUAAAUGCCCACCAAGGCUAUGACGGGUAGCUGGUCUUAUGAGGAUGAUCAGUCACGUGGGCACUGAGACACGGGCCCAACUCCUACGGGAGGCAGCAGGAGUGAAUUUUGCGCAAUGGGCGAAAGACGGACGCAGGGACGCCGCGUGCGGAAUGAAGGCCUUCGGGUCGUAAACCGCUUUUAUAAGGGACGAACUUUGACGGUACCUUAUGAAUAAGAGGCUGCUAACUCCGUG